Molecule: long non-coding RNA, 809 nt
Filed under: Phoenix dactylifera (date palm)
Lineage: Eukaryota; Viridiplantae; Streptophyta; Magnoliopsida; Arecales; Arecaceae
Description: long non-coding RNA (PDAC_LNC016983)
Source: RNAcentral
CUUGAUCUCUGCUGCAAUCGCUAUCCUGUUUGAAAGAGACCCAACACCAUCUUCUGUCUGCUCGCUUUUUAUAUCCUCCCCUAUCUCCCAUCAAGGCGAGUUCUGAUCUCGCUCAUCGUCACCCACGACGGCCAUUUUAUUCAUAUAAAAAUCGGUUUUUUCGAAUCGUUUUUCGUUUUCUCCGUCUUUUGAAUGGUAAAAGGUGAGAACCUUGACGGGUUGGUCGAUGAACUGGUGCUGAAAAUUUCUGUCAAAAUACUUUUUUUCCGUCAUGUUUCUUGCGUUUUUUGAUCUUCGAUUGGAUUUGCUAGGCUGCUUCGUGUGUGAUGUCCUUUGAUGCGUUUGAAAUCUUUGAUUUUAUCGAAUUGUGUCUCUAUUUCCAUGAAUCAGUUCACAUGCCCAUCCUCAUAACUAGAGCAGAUUCCCGCCAAUUAUCGUAAGUAAAAGCUGAAAACUUUCAUGAUUCUAUUGUUUUCUAAUCUUGGGUUAGUUUCUUUAGUUCGCAUCGUCUAAUUCCGAUGUCAGUGGUGUAUUAGGCUUUCUUGAAACUUCCCAACUGGUUGCUGGGGCUUUUGAUCAUUGAGGGGAUUCAUGCUUUCUAAUCCAUUAAAGAGGGAGUAGUUGUUAGUCCAUUCAUGGAUUUUAGUCUUCUGCUGUGAUCAAAUGGAGGCUUUCGAUGGCCCAAUUUAUUGAACUAUCUCUGAUGCCUAGUUGUAUGUUGAUAGUCUUCUUUGCUUGCCCUUUAAUUUCAUUCAAUCAAGUGCUGUGCUAUUUUGUGUUAUUUCAUUUUCCUUUUUGGAAUUUCCCUU